GAAGUGAAGAUUAGUGACCCUGGAUGGGCCUUCGUGGGCUUCUAUUUGGGUUUAGUGUUUAAAGCCCAUUUCCUCUUUAUUGUCGUGUACUUAAGCUUUUCUUCUUCUCUGUAAACGAGUAUCAAAAAGAUCAAUCAAAAUCAACAAUCAUCUUCUUCUGAUUUCUCACCUCUUUCUUCUACUUCUCAUCAUAAUUCUGUUAGUUCUUUGAUAAGCCCAUUUCGUGCCUAUCAGACGACAACUAAACCCUACACGCUUACAUAAAAACGCGACCUUUGAGAAUUUUGUCCGGCGACAGAAAUGGCGGGGUUAGGGUUACGGCUAAAGGCGGCAAAAUGGACGUUGAGGAGCGGAUCAGGUGCUGUAUCGAGAGAAUGGUCGUCGGAGAUGGGGAAAGGUGUUCGUCGAUUCUCUACUGAAACAGAGAACGAUGUUCCAACUUCAGGAAUCAGUAGACCACUCGCUGAGAUUCUCAAGGAGCUUAACAAAAAGGUUCCAGAUUCAGUCAUCCGAACUCGAGUUGAAGAUGGGUGCUCCAUCAAAUACAUCCCUUGGUAAUCUCUUUCCUCAGGGUUUAGGGUUCUUUAAUUGGGGUUUUUGGGUCAAUACUUAUACUCUUUUCUUGUGUUGAUUCUCAGGCACAUUGUGAAUCGGAUCAUGAAUAUGCAUGCUCCAGGUUUGCUAAACCCUCUCUUGUUCUUCUGGGGUUCGUUGUUGGGUUUUGGUUUUGACAUUUUGGUGUAUUAUU
RNAcentral lists this non-coding RNA (748 nucleotides) under Arabidopsis thaliana (thale cress). The record is from RNAcentral. Lineage: Eukaryota; Viridiplantae; Streptophyta; Magnoliopsida; Brassicales; Brassicaceae.